Molecule: ribosomal RNA, 497 nt
Filed under: uncultured bacterium
Lineage: Bacteria
Description: partial 16S ribosomal RNA
Rfam family: Bacterial small subunit ribosomal RNA
Source: RNAcentral
GAUGAACGCUGGCGGCGUGCCUAAUACAUGCAAGUCGAGCGAACGGACGAGAAGCUUGCUUCUCUGAUGUUAGCGGCGGACGGGUGAGUAACACGUGGAUACCCUACCUAUAAGACUGGGAUACCUUAGGGAACCCGUAGCUAGUACAGGAUAUUAUUUUGAAAGGCAUGGUUCAACAGUGAAAGCGGGUUUUGCUGUCCCUAAUAGAUGGUUCCGCGUUGCAUUAGCUAGUUGGUACGGUAACGGCUUACCAAGGCAACGAUGCAUAGCCGACCUUAGAGGGUGAUCGGCCACACUGGAACUGAGACACGGUCCAGACUCCUACGGGAGGCAGCAGUGGGGAAUCUUCCGCAAUGGGCGAAAGCCUGACGGAGCAACGCCGCGUGAGUGAUGAAGGUCUUCGGAUCGUAAAACUCUGUUAUUAGGGAAGAACAGAUGUGUAAGUAACUGUGCACAUCUUGACGGUACCUAAUCAGAAAGCCACGGCUAACUACGUG